AACGAACGCUGGCGGCAGGCCUAACACAUGCAAGUCGAGCGCUCCAGCAAUGGAGAGCGGCAGACGGGUGAGUAACGCGUGGGAACCUACCUAGUGGUACGGAAUAGCCCAGGGAAACUUGGGGUAAUACCGUAUAUGCCCGAAAGGGGAAAGAUUUAUCGCCAUUAGAUGGGCCCGCGUCGGAUUAGCUAGUUGGUGAGGUAAUGGCUCACCAAGGCGACGAUCCGUAGCUGGUCUGAGAGGAUGACCAGCCACACUGGGACUGAGACACGGCCCAGACUCCUACGGGAGGCAGCAGUGGGGAAUAUUGGACAAUGGGCGAAAGCCUGAUCCAGCCAUGCCGCGUGAGUGACGAAGGUCUUCGGAUUGUAAAGCUCUUUUGGCGGGGACGAUAAUGACGGUACCCGCAGAAUAAGCCCCGGCUAACUUCGUGCCAGCAGCCGCAGUAAGAC
Molecule: ribosomal RNA, 452 nt
Filed under: uncultured bacterium
Lineage: Bacteria
Description: bacterial SSU rRNA
Rfam family: Bacterial small subunit ribosomal RNA
Source: RNAcentral